AUUGAACGCUGGCGGCAGGCCUAACACAUGCAAGUCGAGCGGAUGAAGGGAGCUUGCUCCUGGAUUCAGCGGCGGACGGGUGAGUAAUGCCUAGGAAUCUGCCUGGUAGUGGGGGAUAACGUCCGGAAACGGGCGCUAAUACCGCAUACGUCCUGAGGGAGAAAGUGGGGGAUCUUCGGACCUCACGCUAUCAGAUGAGCCUAGGUCGGAUUAGCUAGUUGGUGGGGUAAAGGCCUACCAAGGCGACGAUCCGUAACUGGUCUGAGAGGAUGAUCAGUCACACUGGAACUGAGACACGGUCCAGACUCCUACGGGAGGCAGCAGUAGGGAAUAUUGGACAAUGGGCGAAAGCCUGAUCCAGCCAUGCCGCGUGUGUGAAGAAGGUCUUCGGAUUGUAAAGCACUUUAAGUUGGGAGGAAGAGCAGUAAGUUAAUACCUUGCUGUUUUGACGUUACCAACAGAAUAAGCACCGGCUAACUUCGUG
This 484-nucleotide ribosomal RNA is filed under the name uncultured bacterium. RNAcentral describes it as "partial 16S ribosomal RNA". It matches the Rfam family "Bacterial small subunit ribosomal RNA", at positions 30 to 507 of the family's 1533-position model. The record is from RNAcentral.